Molecule: unclassified non-coding RNA, 1288 nt
Filed under: Hevea brasiliensis (rubber tree)
Lineage: Eukaryota; Viridiplantae; Streptophyta; Magnoliopsida; Malpighiales; Euphorbiaceae
Source: RNAcentral
GCAAAAUCCGAUACAAAGUACAACCCCAUGCAAAGCCGCAGGGGAGAAGGAAGAUGCAAAAUGUUCAUCUUCGAUAUUACAAAACCCAAACUCAACUGGUAAAAGGGAAAAAGAGUGCUUUACAGAUUCCCCAAACUGCAGGGUACUUAUUCAUUAAAAAUGUUACGCCAUAAAUUGAAAACUCAUCAGUCAUUUAUCGAUCAUCUAACCCAAUUCCGCUAGCUGAAGUAGACAAGGUUUUAGAAAAUCACCAAACACAGGCAUUCUCAAACUCUAGUAAGAAUACGACAUAAAAUGAGUUUAUUAUCCUUCUAAUGAUGCUUUGCCGCUGAAUGAACUCGAAGACAUAACCGAGAGAACAUCAGUCACGGAUGCCAUGACGCUUAAUGCUGCUUUAAGAACCUCCUGCGAACACCCUGGUUUUACUAUUGUUCGGACCUUGUCAAGAUAUUCCUGUAGCUUCUUGAUGCGGCCCAUGUAAUCCUGGUCCUCAACGCACAGGGAGACGGGCUUAGCAUCAGCACCAGGACCGUCAAACUGAAGAGGUCCAGGGUUUCUAUACAGAUCGUCCAUAAGAAACUGACUCGCAUUUUGUCUCAAUAACUCGUAUGCUUUCCCUUUCAAAUCCACAGUUGCUGGGUGAAUUGCAGGUUUCCCAAUGGACAACGCCCCAGGAUUUUGAGCCCAACGCUUCACAGUCAUCAUGGCUGCAAUCGGGGCAGCACCACAGCGCCAUUUGUUCACAGGAUUUUUCAGGUUAGUUAAAGUAGCCAUGUAACCGUUCAAGCCAGCAGCUAAGAUAUGGUAGCAAACAUGCCCAAGAACGUAGGCAUAGUCACAAUCAAAUUUUGAAGGUAAAGAUCCCCGAGCCUGGUAACCAAAGAAGUGGCAAAUUGCAUUGAAUUUCUUCCCCUUGUAAGUCCCUUCUUUCAGACGCUUGUUAAUUUCAGCCUCCACAAGAUGUGCCAAAAGUUUCUCCGUCUCAAUCUGAGAUAACUGAGCAGAGUCAUCGGAUUCAGGAUGAAGUAGCAACUGCUUCCUGAUGAAAGGUGGCAGAAAUUCAAAUAGCGCUGAUGCCCAAGGAGAGAGUUGGGAAGAAAUAUUAUCAACCAGAACUCCUUGCUUGAGUAGACUGUGAAUUUCCUUCAAAAGGGCAUAGAUUUCAGGAAUACUUUCAAUGAGCCCUUCGGGCAGUAAGAUGACCCCAUGGUAUUUGUCUUGUUGUGCUCUAGCCUGAACAGCAUCACAUAUCUGUGUCGUCAAAUCAAAAAGAGUAAGCUUUGAUGCA